This 90-nucleotide transfer RNA is filed under the name Clostridium algidicarnis. Its description in RNAcentral is "tRNA-Ser". It matches the Rfam family "tRNA". From Rfam's summary of the family: Transfer RNA (tRNA) molecules are approximately 80 nucleotides in length. Their secondary structure includes four short double-helical elements and three loops (D, anti-codon, and T loops). Further hydrogen bonds mediate the characteristic L-shaped molecular structure. tRNAs have two regions of fundamental functional importance: the anti-codon, which is responsible for specific mRNA codon recognition, and the 3' end, to which the tRNAs corresponding amino acid is attached (by aminoacyl-tRNA synthetases). tRNAs cope with the degeneracy of the genetic code in two manners: having more than one tRNA (with a specific anti-codon) for a particular amino acid; and 'wobble' base-pairing, i.e. permitting non-standard base-pairing at the 3rd anti-codon position. The record is from RNAcentral. RNAcentral also lists the same sequence under 1 other name. Lineage: Bacteria; Bacillati; Bacillota; Clostridia; Eubacteriales; Clostridiaceae.
GGAGAGAUGUCCGAGUGGCUUAAGGAGCACGCCUGGAAAGCGUGUGUAGGGGCAACUCUACCGAGGGUUCGAAUCCCUCUCUCUCCGCCA